This 16-nucleotide small RNA is filed under the name Arabidopsis thaliana (thale cress). RNAcentral's name for it is "ATSL070890". The record is from RNAcentral. Lineage: Eukaryota; Viridiplantae; Streptophyta; Magnoliopsida; Brassicales; Brassicaceae.
AUUUUAGAGGUUCUUU